CGCUCGCCCCGGGAGGGAGCCCGCGGCCAGGGCUGGACUCUCGCCCCGCCACCUCCACCGACUCUCUCCUCAGCCUCCGCGCCUGGCACCGCAGCAAGACUUGAAUGAAGUGAUCAUGUAAACUAGAGAAAGGAGAUUAAAAAUAACCUCUGGAUAUUCCUCUCAUGUGAUCUUUAUUCUGGAUGAAGCAUUAGGACAGCUAAUAGCCGUGUGUCACUCUGAGCUUGCUCGAAUACUCCGUUCUGCACAUCUCUCCUUGUAAUGUGAGUAUUUUCUACAGUGAGAACCAAAAAAGAAAUGCUUCUUAAAGGAUCUUUUUCGUGGAGUCUGAUCUGACAUGCCCUUUUAAUGUUCCCUGUGCCUUUUCACAUACAGCAUCCACAAACAAACUCUCCUAUGUGUUGACUCAUACUCCCAGCAAGUAUGUUUCAUAAAAACAUGUAGAGCAAGAGAAACCCCUGUGUAAAUCUAGCAUCUUCCAAGAACGUGUAGGCAGAAAAAUUCAUCUUUCCAUUGUUGUUGUUUAUUUUAUUAUUAUUUUUUAUACGGGAUCUUGCUUUGUUGCCCAAGCUGGAGUGCAGUG
Molecule: long non-coding RNA, 583 nt
Filed under: Homo sapiens (human)
Lineage: Eukaryota; Metazoa; Chordata; Mammalia; Primates; Hominidae
Description: HSALNT0323841
Source: RNAcentral